CUGGCUUAUACUCACUAGCUAACCACUAGCAUCCUUGAAACACAACACUUAUUAGCAGCUCAGCACUUCUCGUACUGUUACACGAAAUCAAGGGAACAUCACUUGGCGGCCUGCAGGCCUGUCAGCUGUCAGCUCCUCCAAACUGUGCUUUGCUCUGCAAAUGUCCACAAGGUUGAGCGUCAAAAACAUCAUCAGGUCAAGCAGACAGAUGGAUAACUUUGAUGGCUGCGUUUUGUCACCACAGGAUAAAAAAAAACAUUCUUCCUGGAGCAGAUAUUGACCUAAGUGAUGGUUCUAAUUAGAAUCUGAGGUUCAGAAUGGAACAAGGAAUGUUCCUCACGGGAGGACUACGAGUGACAUCAUUCAGCCAACGACUCUCCACAGAGCAACAAUUGUCAAUGAUAGUGUUUUUUCUCAAGUGUCAAACUGAAUAGCCACUAUGAAAUAAAAGAGCAAGCAACUC
This is a long non-coding RNA of Oncorhynchus kisutch (coho salmon), 463 nucleotides long. RefSeq lists it as uncharacterized. The record is from RefSeq and is a predicted model, not a curated record. NCBI's taxonomy places the organism in Eukaryota, Metazoa, Chordata, Actinopteri, Salmoniformes, Salmonidae. The transcript is spliced from 3 exons.